This 400-nucleotide ribosomal RNA is filed under the name Staphylococcus aureus. RNAcentral describes it as "bacterial LSU rRNA". It matches the Rfam family "Bacterial large subunit ribosomal RNA", at positions 1767 to 2166 of the family's 2925-position model. Lineage: Bacteria; Bacillati; Bacillota; Bacilli; Caryophanales; Staphylococcaceae. The record is from RNAcentral.
CCCAGAAGAGCCGCAGUGAAUAGGCCCAAGCGACUGUUUAUCAAAAACACAGGUCUCUGCUAAACCGUAAGGUGAUGUAUAGGGGCUGACGCCUGCCCGGUGCUGGAAGGUUAAGAGGAGUGGUUAGCUUCUGCGAAGCUACGAAUCGAAGCCCCAGUAAACGGCGGCCGUAACUAUAACGGUCCUAAGGUAGCGAAAUUCCUUGUCGGGUAAGUUCCGACCCGCACGAAAGGCGUAACGAUUUGGGCACUGUCUCAACGAGAGACUCGGUGAAAUCAUAGUACCUGUGAAGAUGCAGGUUACCCGCGACAGGACGGAAAGACCCCGUGGAGCUUUACUGUAGCCUGAUAUUGAAAUUCGGCACAGCUUGUACAGGAUAGGUUGGGGGGGAAUAAGCCUG